Molecule: long non-coding RNA, 960 nt
Organism: Papaver somniferum (opium poppy)
Lineage: Eukaryota; Viridiplantae; Streptophyta; Magnoliopsida; Ranunculales; Papaveraceae
Exons: 2
Source: RefSeq, a predicted model, not a curated record
AAUACUAACAACUAGUUUACAGAGAAGUAAGUCUUUCUCCACCACUAUCUCUAUCUCUAUCUCUAUCUCUAUCUAUCUAGGAGCUCUGUAUGAGCAACUCUAUCACUAGCUCAUACAUCUCCACACACUACCUUCUAUCAAUAUUAUAUCAAGAAUCAAAUAGAUAUAAAAUUCAACACAAAAUGAUGUUGUUCUAACCUUCACAGAUAACAACAUAAUGAUACUAAUGUCUAGUAGUUUGGGGUUUUUCCCUUUUGUUUUUGGUGAUAUAUCUUUUUCUGUGAAAAACAGUGAUUGAAAGUCUAUUAGGGACUUCGUUGAUGCCAGUUAAGAAUUUCAUCAAUAUCACAAUCUACAUUAAUUGAGAUACUUUUCGCAGUGCAGCUGUCACAUUGUACUUUCCUGUAACCAAAAUUAGUCGGAUAAUCAGAUUUAGUAAUCUAACAACAGAUACUCGUACACUCGGGCAAGAAGCAAGAAAAUGGGACUCCGUUAAAUUGCUUAUUCAGACUGUUCUUCAGCGCUACUUAACUGAAAUUUUGUCUACAAUAGUACUUGUGUUUCUGCUUCCAUAACUGAACUAUGGGAGGCGAGAUUGUUUAUAUUUGCCGCUUUGAUGUGCCUGCAUAAUAUGGAGUUCUGAUGUUUUUGUAUGUGAUGGACUAAUUUGCUGUUUUGAUCUGGGAUCUUCUCUGCUAUGAAAAGUUUUUGCUUUCUUUUACAUUCUUCAAAAGAUUUACUUGUACACGGCUUAGCUCUGAAAUUAAUAUGGUGAGCUGUUCAGCUGAUUUUGAUGUGAGGUUUUCAGACCAAAUAAAUGUAAAGGUGAUGCACAGUAGCUUGAAUUUACCUCAUAUGUAACUGGGCAUAAUUCUAUUUGUAACUAAAAGAGAAACAGAAAACAAUGCAAAAGAUUUUAACUCGAAUUUCUUGAUUGCAAUUGAGAAUAUUUUCACUGUG